GGCGUCCCGAGGAGCCCAGGACGCGUCAGCAGGUGGCGGAGGUGCCAGGCCGUGGGCACGAGUGUGAAGGGCAACGGGGACAGGGCGGGGAGGCGCCGCCAGCUCCGACCCCCGCCCCGGCUGCCGGUUCCCUGGGGGUGAGAGAGGACUUUGUGCCCAGCGAGGCGCGCGGGCCCUGCCAGCGCACUGGGAGGUCGCGGCCCCGCAGCCAGUGGCGAGGCUGAGGGGACAGCGCGCAGAGCCGCUCCGGGUGCGCAGCGCCCGGCGCCCCUUGCCGCGGGAACGAAACUUGUGCAAUGUCCGCCCAGCGCCGCGGCGGCGGGCUCCCGGGGUGACCUCGUAAGUGAGCGGGCGCGGCUUCCACCCAGGUCACCGCGCCGCGCAGGGGCUGCAGACCCUGGCCUUGGGGCCAUUUCGCAAGCUUCUUGGAAAGUCACUCCUGUCGGUUAGCUGGGACUGCUGUGAACUCUGCCCCACCCCCUGGACACCCACGCUCGAUCGGGCCUGCCCAACUCUACCUGCGCACGCCGGCCAGCAAAUGCCAGUCUGUGCGCCUUCCAGAGCCGGGCUGAACACAGACCCUGGUAGCUCCCCGGUGGACCCAAGCUGUGUUGGUUACCCAGCAGCAGUGCCACCAAGUGGUGGGAGAGACCUGGCAAGAAUUAUGGAUGCCUGCAAAGGACAUACGGGCUUCAAUCUCCCAGCGUUGACCGGACGUGGACAGCACAUAACGCCGCCCGCGUGGGGACUGAGUACAAAUCUACAGCAUCGGGGGCAACCAGUGCUUUGGAGAAUGUCUCUGGGCACCGCCCAGGCUCCUCUCUGGAGGGCUCGGGGUGCGUGACUCCGACUUCAUGGCUUCCAUGCCGUCUCGGGUCCCUUGCCACGUCUCCCACUCUGAAGAUGUCCCCAGAGGUGGGUUUUAACCUGCUCACGUUACAGUAAGGAGACUGUCGAGAGAGAGGCCCCAGCUGACCGGUCCUGUGGGCCAGCUUCAGGCCCCGGGACAGAAGGCAGGUCUGAGAGGCCCUCAGC
RNAcentral lists this long non-coding RNA (1035 nucleotides) under Oryctolagus cuniculus (rabbit). Its description in RNAcentral is "lncRNA (ENSOCUG00000033656.1)". Lineage: Eukaryota; Metazoa; Chordata; Mammalia; Lagomorpha; Leporidae. The record is from RNAcentral.